This 206-nucleotide ribosomal RNA is filed under the name uncultured bacterium. Its description in RNAcentral is "partial 16S ribosomal RNA". It matches the Rfam family "Bacterial small subunit ribosomal RNA", at positions 568 to 774 of the family's 1533-position model. The record is from RNAcentral.
CGCGUAGGUGGUUUGUUAAGUUGGAUGUGAAAGCCCCGGGCUCAACCUGGGAACUGCAUCCAAAACUGGCAAGCUAGAGUACGGUAGAGGGUGGUGGAAUUUCCUGUGUAGCGGUGAAAUGCGUAGAUAUAGGAAGGAACACCAGUGGCGAAGGCGACCACCUGGACUGAUACUGACACUGAGGUGCGAAAGCGUGGGAGCAAACA